AACAGCAUGGAAUUUCUUCAUCAGCAAAUUCCAUGUCUCCUUCCUUACAGCUUGAAAGAACUUUACUUUGGGGGGUAACUUUCUAAAGAAUCCAUUUCAAAGGUCCACUGGGCUAUAAAAGAGAGUGCCAAAGACACCAAAUUAUCUUUCACUUAAGAAGACUAAGGAAACAAGCUCUUUGAAUCUUAUGGGUCCACCAAGGUGGUGAGCAGCCAUCUUUCUGGAAAAAAGAGUGGACAAGUACAGCACAACUACUGGAAAUGCAGGUUUCCUCACAGUAGUGGAUCACAGUGAAAUGCACCAGUCUUGAGCCUGUUCCUACUUUUACCUGUCUGCACAGGCUGCUGAGGAUGAACACAUGGAACUAGCAGGACUUGGGGAAAAAGCAGACCUAUGGAAAGGGAUCUUGAGAACAUCCUGAUCUCGGUUGGAGUAGAGGAGAAGAUAUCCAUCCUGCUGUUGUGAGCCCCAGUACAAGCAAGAAACUUUGUUCAGGAACAAAGAGACGAUGCCACGUUAAGCCAGGCCUAUGAGCAACUGGCCUCCAAAAUGGAGGAGAGAUGGAACCUCAGUGACUGGAGAAAUACCCCCUUUUGUGCUUGGGAAGGAGCAUAUAUAUCACAUUAAGCAAGACUAUCGAUCAGGGGAGGCGAGGACACAACUACUAGUGCCACACAAAUACUGCUGACUAGUGAUGCAGCUUGCCAAUGACAUCUCUUGCGUUGCCCACUGGGGCAAGAGAAAGUGCUGUGAUGAGUACUGUCCUGCUUCAACUGGCCUGGGGGCUUAUGAAACUUUUGUCACACAAGGGGUUCCUUCAUGAAAUAUUAACCAACCAAGGGACCAACUUCACCUUGCAGGUGAUGCAAGAGCUGUGCUUCCUUUUGACAUUAAUUCCUGGAAGACUUCUGUAUAUCAUCCAUAGACAUAUGGGCUCCUAGAAAGAUUUAACAAAAUCCUAAAAGAAAUGCUGAAGCACUUUGUCAGAUCUGAUCCCAGUAAUUGGGAUCAACUGCUUUCACCACUCUUUAUUCUCCGUAAGGGAGGUCCUGCAGGCCUCUACAGGCUUCUAUCCCUUUGAACUAUUGUAUGGCCAUCAGUCUCAGGGGAUCUUAAAUUGCAGCAUGAAGGUUAGGAGGAACAGGAUGUGACUAUUGUCAACUCAGCCCUGUAUAUUAUCCACCUAAGGGCGUGUCUUAAAAGGCUGAGUACAUUUGCUAGAUGAACUAAUUAACAUUUGCUACAAUACCAUUUGGACAGCAUGGGGGCUGUGGCAACCUUUCAAUGCCUCAUGAAAAAAGUUCUCAGACCCCACUACCAAUAUGCCAUUGCCUACCUAGACAAUAUCAUUAUCUGUAGCUUCAUGAUAGCUUCACUUGGGAGUAUCAUCUGCAGCACAUGAGAGGAGUAUUAGGGUCUUUCCAAUAAGCCAGUCUCACCUACUAAAUGUAAGUUAGAAACCACAGAAGUGACCCACCUUGGAUACUGUGUGGGAGGUAAACUCUUGAAAACGGUAACUGAUGAAGUGCUGGUGUCAAUUACGUGCCCAGACAAAAAGGCAAGUGAGUUGCUUCUUGGGCCUGGCUAUCUUUGCUUUGACUGCAGCUCCCCUAAGAGACCUUGUAAAAGGCAGUAGUCCCAGGAAAAUCCAAUGGGAUAAAAACUCUGAGAGGGCUUUUAACACCUGAAAGACAAACCUUUGUCAAUCACCCAUCCUUUUUAAUCCUGACUUUCCCCAAGAAUUUAUAUUACUUAUGGAUGCCUUGGAUGUCAGACUUGGUGCUGUGUUUUCACAGGACUUUGCAAAUGGGGAACACCCAGUCCUGUAUUUAAGUAGAAAAUUAUUCCCUGGGGAGAGAGCUUCCUCAGUUAUUGAGAAAGAAGCACUGGCAAUUAAAUAGGCCAUAGACUCUCUCAAGUACUACCUCCUGGACAAUCCCUUCUCAUUGAUCACUGAUCACACUCCCUUAUGUUGGUUAAAUACCCUGAAGGACUUGAACCCCCAUAUAAUGUGAUGGUACCUAGUACUGCAACUAUAGAAUUUCAAAGUAUAACGUUGUGCAUAUUCAAAACUACAGUGCACAGGGGUUUACCCAUGUGACUUCCAGUGGUUUUAACAGAAGUUGUGAGGCUAAAACCUCAUGUGCCACUUUGAAAAUAUGAAGAUAAAUUUUCACAUGCUAUGUGCCAGCACAAUUACAAUGUACUUGAAUAACUUCUACUGUGUUUAAUGUUGUGAUCUCCUGGUUUAUUUGUGUCUUGGGACUUGAGUUGUAUAAAGCCAAAGUCUUUGUUUAUAUAAUAAUUAUAUUGUAUAUUUUAUUAUUAUAAAAGGACCAUGCCAUUGAUGUAAGUUACUCAUGUCCUGUGGUGAGAGAAUUGAGCUAUCUAUUUGCAAUAAGAAACAAUCAAUGGUGUGACAGAUACUCUGUAUUAAUUUCAUAUCUGAAUAACUGCAGUUUUUGAAUGGAUACUGGAAAAGCGAGACAACAAGAGAACAAAAGAAAGCAACCCCAAAGCCACCACCAAAUAAACUUUAAACACUGAAUACCUAAAAUGACUGCUAUUGCACUGAAGUAGCCACUUCAGUGUGUUGCAGCUACAUUCAAAUUCCCUUUGCUCUGAAGUUUAUACAGUAUAUAUAUUUGAGCCAAAAAAAUGGAAGCUGGGAGCUUUUGAGAUGCAUGAUGCAGUUUGGAACAUAUGUUCAUUAGGAGCCCCAGAAUGCAGAGUUGUUUGAAUGGAGCUACUGCAAUAGGAUCCAAUAGAGGGCUACUGGCUACUGUUGCCACCCAUGAGAGAUUAUAUCUAUGUUCUUCACUUGGUGGUGGUUAAUUUCAUUCCCCUCCGGUGAAUGGUGUUUGGAGGGGAACACAAGUGGGAGAUAUCACUCUCCUUCCCCAAAGGGGAGUAGGGAGGUGGGCACUUUGGAAGCUAUGGCAGGGCUUUCCUCCUCCUCCUCCACAAAGAGCUGGCCCUUCACUUAAUUCAUACUAUCUCCGAGGGAGAUAGGAGGGAUGUGGAUAAUUUACUAUUAACCCCCACUUUUCUUAUUUAGUACUCAGCUAAUACCCACACAAAAGAUUCUAUAUUCAAUGAUUACCUACCUACAUUAGGUUGUUGUCCCAUCUCUAAUGCCAAUACUGAUGGCUGUAUUCAAACAAUAGAUAUUUAAGUAUUGAUCAGUCUCAUGGCAGUUAAUGUUCUCAUAGUCCUGAGGUAUUUAGAGUUUUUAAGAAGUAAUUUACCCAUUCUCCUUGACCAUAUUUCUAUACAGCGGAGCACUGUCCUGUGAAAAAUGUUAAAUAUCCAUGUCACACAUGCACACCAGGCUACUACCAGCCUUUUAGACGUCCAUCAGGUAAGUAAAUACAUAAACAAGCAAUUCAAUAAGAUGAGUUAGGCAGGACCAUUCUUAAAUAAGGAAAAAGAUUGUUAGAUUGUUAUCUCCUAUCAGCUGAUUAUUGUGCAUUUAUUUGUAACUGGCCUCUGGUAUAGGUUUAUUAUGUUGCCUGUUAGAAAUGACAAUCUGACAGCUCUGUUGUUUCUCUGAGUCAAUUUUAUCUCAGUUAUUGAAUACUGAAACCUCAUUAACUUGCUGCUAGGCCUCCAGAACUGUACUGAUUGCUGUCUGUAUAUAUAAGUGUAUAACUGCAAGUACUUUUGCAUGAAUUUUAUUGUUGGAGUUAUUUUUUGUAGGUUUCAGAACAAACAUGUUUUACCAUUGGAAAAAGGACUUUGAAUCUGAAUGCUAUGCUAGAAUAGGAGCCUAAUGCAUGUGUAAGCAAUAGUUAGUGAUACUUGGCACAUAGGAUGGUUUUCGUUCUGUUAUGGAUUUUUUUUAACCUCAAUGUUAUUUCUAACAUUUUGGCCUACAGCUACUCUACUUACUGGGUAUCCCCCUUUUCAGCCCCAGGCAACCAGAUUAUUAGAGCACUGACCAUUUCCAUCAGUCAGCAAUACCCUAUAUCUGUAAAAAAUCAUUACAUUGCAGUAAACAUUCCACAGUGGAAAAUGCCUGGUACAGUUGUCCAGGAUG
Molecule: long non-coding RNA, 4039 nt
Organism: Mauremys reevesii (Reeves's turtle)
Lineage: Eukaryota; Metazoa; Chordata; Testudines; Geoemydidae
Exons: 3
Source: RefSeq, a predicted model, not a curated record